UACGUAGGGUGCAAGCGUUAAUCGGAAUUACUGGGCGUAAAGCGUGCGCAGGCGGCUUUGCAAGACAGAUGUGAAAUCCCUGGGCUCAACCCAGGAACUGCGUCCGAUACUGGUGGGCUCGAAUCCGGGAGAGGGAUGUGGAAUUCCAGGUGUAGCGGUGAAAUGCGUAGAUAUCUGGAGGAACACCGGUGGCGAAGGCGACAUCCUGGACCGGUAUUGACGCUGAGGCGCGAAAGCCAGGGGAGCAAACGGG
RNAcentral lists this ribosomal RNA (253 nucleotides) under uncultured bacterium. RNAcentral describes it as "partial 16S ribosomal RNA". It matches the Rfam family "Bacterial small subunit ribosomal RNA", at positions 524 to 776 of the family's 1533-position model. The record is from RNAcentral.